AGGGGCGCCAGGGGUAGGCCUCUCCCUUUGCUUUCGCUGGCUGCUGGAGGCGCGGUGUGGCUGGCCUGGUCGCCCGACCCCCGUCCGGGGCUGCCGGGUGCGCCACGUGGUGCGCACGUGGUCCCGUCCCGGCGCGGAGGCUCCCUUCCUCCCCCUCACGGCGCCGGCGGCCAGCAGCGCCCCCUGGCGGCGGCCCCACGCGCCGCACCGCUCGUCGCGCCUGCGCACCAAGCGUCACGACGCGCCUUCCGGUCUUCGAGAGACCGGGCGUGGGUCGGUUGCGUCCUUGCGACAACCGCGCGUCCGUCCGCCAGGGGUCUCGGAGAGGGGAGCUGCGGGCAACCCGCCCAAGAGAGAGAGGGAGACACAGAACCUGAAGCAGGCUCCAGGCCCUGAGCUGUCAGCACAGAGCCCGAUGAGAGGCUUGAACUCACUGACUGUGAGUGAGAUCAUGACCUGAGCCAAAGUCUGACACUCAACCGACUGGGCCACCCAGGCGCCUCCCUGACUAAUUCCUAAACCCAGAGCCAGUCUCUAGUUGAAAUUCGCCCAUAAUCUGUCAAACUGAGUUACUUCCCAAUAAACUUCUUGUUAAAUGUAAUUAAUAUGUGAUACGAACGUUGGUUGAUAUUACAUUAAUGAGUAAGACAGAAAUGAAGCCAAAAAGAAUUUCAUCAGUGAAGUGAACAAUUUCUUGGCCAAAUUAGAUCACGGUUUUCCAAUAGUCAACAAAUGCAGUUUUUCCUCAAUGUUUUGUGCUGUUUACAGUAUAAAGGAUACAGACUUGACACAUUUUUGUCAAAAUGUUGACAAUAUUUUAAAUUCAACUACAUUAUUAAUUUUCUCCAUUAUUUUAAGUUUAGACUGGGGGGUGGGGAGUUUUCCACAAAGGGUCAGAUGGGAAGUAUUUUAGGUUUUUUUCUUUCGUUUUGUUUUUUAACACCAUUUAAAAACAUAAAAGCCAUUCUUAGCUCCACCAAAGGCCAUGUUCAACCUUCAGUCUCUGAACUGUAGCAUUUUCAGAUUUCCACAAUAUAGAUAUUUCUCUGAUGCCUGAUGGCAAGCGGCAAAUCUGGAGUGCCUGACCCAACAUGGAGUGUGUGACUGCAGGCUUGGGGACGGGAUUUCCAGCAUAUGGAUCCAAUUGAUGGAAAUAACCUAAGGCACAUAGGUCACGGUAGGAUAAUUGGGAAGUAAUGUGUUUUGAAACCUUGUUACCAAUAGUACCGACUUCACCGUAAACUUCUAUAAUUUAAUUUUUGAUAAUGUCUGUUUAACCGCAAGCCCACAGAAUUCCUGAAAAAUUAACAUUUGAUUCUCAUGCACCAGCUCCAGCUCGCCCUGGCCUCCCUCCAAGUGGAGAUGGGGGUGGGCAAGCUAGACUUCUGGGUUGGUCAGGGAUGUUCAGUGUCUUCACCCGGGUUCCACUUAGGCGCACCCCAAGGUGACCCCCAGUGAGUCAGUGCCCUGUAUCAUCCUCUCCCUGUGAGUCUGAGUCAGACCCAUCAUGGGCUUCGUUAGAAUUUGCUGGAUGGUGUAGGCUGUCAUUCCCUUGACUGCAUCCCAUUGUAUGUGAAGGAUGAUGGAUGGCACCCCAAUCACGCCCUUGAUCCCAUGAUGUCUGGAGAUGGACUCUCCUGCUGGCCUUGCAGGAGCAACAGCCUCAUGAAGAGCCCCUGGAGAGGGCCAGGUGGUAGGGGACUGUGGGCAGCCUCUAGGACCCGAGGAUGGCCUCCAGCCAACAACCAGGAGGAAGCAGGGGCCCUCGGUCCCGUGGUCACAAGAACAGGCAUCUGCCAGCAACCUGAAUGAGCCAGAAAGAGUGGAGCUUCCAGACGAGAGUACAGUCCAGCCCCCACCCAGAUUGCAGCCACAGGGACCCUGUGCUGGACCAGCCGAGCUGAGCUGUGACUCCCACUGGGUAGAAGCGGAAGCAACAAGUGUUAAGUUACUAACUGCAUGCUCGGUUGUUACUUUGCAAUAGAAAGUGAAUACAUCGUUAUCUGCUAC
Molecule: long non-coding RNA, 2010 nt
Organism: Suricata suricatta (meerkat)
Lineage: Eukaryota; Metazoa; Chordata; Mammalia; Carnivora; Herpestidae
Source: Ensembl